This 850-nucleotide long non-coding RNA is filed under the name Callithrix jacchus (white-tufted-ear marmoset). RNAcentral describes it as "lncRNA (ENSCJAG00000068675.2)". Lineage: Eukaryota; Metazoa; Chordata; Mammalia; Primates; Cebidae. The record is from RNAcentral.
GCAGAUUUAAAUGACUCAGCAGUAGGACUCAGGUCUCUGUCUCUGCCUGCUUACUUAGGGAGUGCUCCAGCCUUUGGGGCUGUCUUGCACUGCAGCAUAGGAAGGAAAUCAUCGACGGCUCCAUUCCCUGGCGUUUGAGACUUUUCUUCCCACAGACACAUUCCUGAGGACACCAGUCAUGCGUAAAGAACUCCACUGGGGUCAGAGUUGGAUCCCACUAGGCAGUUUAGGACUUGUAAGCAGAGUAGCACAGACUUGGUGUUCCCAGAGCCUCUCACUCAUGAUUCAUGGCUCUCCACCCCAAGCAUCGGACUUGCUCAACUUCACCACAGAAGAAAACAGACUGUAAGCUUAGAGGGCCAGGGAGGAAACUGGAGGCACGUGUGGGAGGAAAAGAUACUGAUGGACCACCGAAGUUGGCUCAGUUGGAAUACCAGCCAUGUGGCAUGUCUCAUGGGGCAAGAGCUAUGCCACCCAUGGGAGCCCAGAGGAGCACACUGAGGACCAACACCAGGGAGACCUUUCCCAAACACGAGUCUAAAGAAGAUGGCCAAAAAAGGGGUGCAGAUCUAGUAGUUUACAAGUGGUGCCAAGAUAAGAGAGAAGACAGCUAUCUGCAAACCAGAAAGACGGUCCUCACCACACAUCUUAUCUGCCAAUGGAUCCUUGCUCUUGAACCUCCCGAUCUGCAGAAUCAUGAGAAAUAAACAUUGUGUAAGCCACCCAGUCUACAGUAAUUUGUUCUAGCAGCCCAAGCUGACUAAGAUAUGGUCUCAUUACAUAACCACUUUUAACCCUAGUCUUUCUAUCUGUAAAGUAAGAGGGUGAAAGAAGUCAUGCCAGAAGAUGU